UACGUAGGGGGCGAGCGUUGUCCGGAGUUACUGGGCGUAAAGCGCUUGUAGGCGGUCCACCAAGUUUGGGGUGACAGUUGCCGACUUAAUCGGCAAAGUGCCUCAAAGACUGGCGGACUUGAGGGCCACAGAGGGACAUGGAACUCCAGAUGUAGUGGUGAAAUGCGUAGAUAUCUGGAAGAACACCAAAGGCGAAGGCAGUGUCCUGGGUGGUCGCUGACGCUGAGAGGCGAAAGCCAGGGGAGCGAACGGG
Molecule: ribosomal RNA, 253 nt
Filed under: uncultured bacterium
Lineage: Bacteria
Description: partial 16S ribosomal RNA
Rfam family: Bacterial small subunit ribosomal RNA
Source: RNAcentral